Molecule: ribosomal RNA, 329 nt
Filed under: uncultured bacterium
Lineage: Bacteria
Description: bacterial SSU rRNA
Rfam family: Bacterial small subunit ribosomal RNA
Source: RNAcentral
CGCGUAGGUGGUAGUGUAAGUCUGGGGUGGAAUCCCAGGGCUUAACCCUGGAACUGCCUUGGAAACUGUAUUACUUGAGUCAGUGAGGGGAGGGUAGAAUUCCUGGUGUAGCGGUGAAAUGCGUAGAUAUCAGGAGGAAGGCCUGUGGCGAAGGCGGCCCUCUGGCGCUGGACUGACACUGAGGCGCGAAAGCGUGGGGAGCAAACAGGAUUAGAUACCCUGGUAGUCCACGCCCUAAACGGUGGGCACUAGGUGUAGGGCUCGUAAGGGUCUGUGCCGAAGGGAAACCAUUAAGUGCCCCGCCUGGGGAGUACGGCCGCAAGGUUGAA